GAUCAUGGCUCAGGAUGAACGCUAGCUACAGGCUUAACACAUGCAAGUCGAGGGGCAGCAUGGUCUUAGCUUGCUAAGGCUGAUGGCGACCGGCGCACGGGUGAGUAACACGUAUCCAACCUGCCGUCUACUCUUGGCCAGCCUUCUAGAAAGGAAGAUUAAUCCAGGAUGGGAUCAUGAGUUCACAUCGUCCGCAUAGUAAGUUAAAGGUUACGUUUCCGGUAGACGAGUGGGGUA
This 237-nucleotide ribosomal RNA is filed under the name uncultured bacterium. RNAcentral describes it as "partial 16S ribosomal RNA". It matches the Rfam family "Bacterial small subunit ribosomal RNA", at positions 15 to 233 of the family's 1533-position model. The record is from RNAcentral.